This 253-nucleotide ribosomal RNA is filed under the name uncultured bacterium. Its description in RNAcentral is "partial 16S ribosomal RNA". It matches the Rfam family "Bacterial small subunit ribosomal RNA", at positions 524 to 776 of the family's 1533-position model. The record is from RNAcentral.
UACGUAGGGCGCAAGCGUUAUCCGGAAUUAUUGGGCGUAAAGAGCUCGUAGGCGGUUUGUCGCGUUGUUCGUGAAAACUCACAGCUCAACUGUGGGCGUGCGGGCGAUACGGGCAGACUAGAGUACUGCAGGGGAGACUGGAAUUCCUGGUGUAGCGGUGGAAUGCGCAGAUAUCAGGAGGAACACCGGUGGCGAAGGCGGGUCUCUGGGCCGAUACUGACGCUGAGGAGCGAAAGCGUGGGGAGCGAACAGG